AACGAACGCUGGCGGCAUGCCUAACACAUGCAAGUCGAACGAGACCUUCGGGUCUAGUGGCGCACGGGUGCGUAACGCGUGGGAACCUGCCCUUAGGUUCGGAAUAACUCCCCGAAAGGGGUGCUAAUACCGGAUAAUGUCUUCGGACCAAAGAUUUAUCGCCUUUGGAUGGGCCCGCGUUGGAUUAGCUAGUUGGUAGGGUAAAAGCCUACCAAGGCGACGAUCCAUAGCUGGUCAGAGAGGAUGAUCAGCCACACUGGGACUGAGACACGGCCCAGACUCCUACGGGAGGCAGCAGUGGGGAAUAUUGGACAAUGGGCGAAAGCCUGAUCCAGCAAUGCCGCGUGAGUGAUGAAGGCCUUAGGGUUGUAAAGCUCUUUUACCCGGGAUGAUAAUGACGGUACCGGGAGAAUAAGCUCCGGCUAACUCCGUG
RNAcentral lists this ribosomal RNA (433 nucleotides) under uncultured bacterium. RNAcentral's name for it is "partial 16S ribosomal RNA". It matches the Rfam family "Bacterial small subunit ribosomal RNA", at positions 29 to 507 of the family's 1533-position model. The record is from RNAcentral.